This 682-nucleotide ribosomal RNA is filed under the name uncultured bacterium. Its description in RNAcentral is "bacterial SSU rRNA". It matches the Rfam family "Bacterial small subunit ribosomal RNA", at positions 8 to 685 of the family's 1533-position model. The record is from RNAcentral.
AGGGUUUGAUCAUGGCUCAGAUUGAACGCUGGCGGAAUGCUUUACACAUGCAAGUCGAACGAUGAAGCCUAGCUUGCUAGGUGAAUUAGUGGCGGACGGGUGAGUAAUAUAUCGGAACGUGUCCAUUAAUGGGGGAUAACUAAUCGAAAGGUUAGCUAAUACCGCAUACGCCCUGAGGGGGAAAGCUGGGGAUCUUCGGACCUAGCGUUAAUGGAGCGGCCGAUACCUGAUUAGCUAGUUGGUGGGGUAAAAGCCUACCAAGGCAACGAUCAGUAGCUGGUCUGAGAGGACGACCAGCCACACUGGGACUGAGACACGGCCCAGACUCCUACGGGAGGCAGCAGUGGGGAAUUUUGGACAAUGGGGGCAACCCUGAUCCAGCCAUUCCGCGUGAGUGAAGAAGGCCUUCGGGUUGUAAAGCUCUUUCGCAAGGGAAGAAACGAUAUAGGUUAAUAGCUUAUGUUAAUGACGGUACCUUGACAAGAAGCACCGGCUAACUACGUGCCAGCAGCCGCGGUAAUACGUAGGGUGCAAGCGUUAAUCGGAAUUACUGGGCGUAAAGCGUGCGCAGGCUGUUUUGUAAGUCAGAUGUGAAAUCCCCGAGCUCAACUUGGGAACUGCGUUUGAAACUACAAGACUAGAAUAGGUCAGAGGGGGGUAGAAUUCCAUGUGUAGCAGUGAA